GGAUUUUAUUUCAUUUUCAUAAGAACGAAACUACACAUGUUCAUGCCAAAGUAUCGCCGCCGAGAUUAAACGGUUUGCGGACUGGUGUACUCGGCACUCGAUCUCCGCACAGACCCUCGCCUAUUGGUUUGUCUUUGGUGCAAAUUGAUAAAGUGGAAGGUGGAAUUAUUGUUACUUAUUGAUAUAUAUAUAUAUAUAUUGAUAUAUUGUAUUUGUUUAGUAUACAAAUUCUAAAUAAUUGGUUUGAUUGUUGACAUUUUAGGCAACUCUGUUUAUUUUUCUGGCGUUGAUAUGAUAGAUGGUACUCCAGUGUUUGAUAUUAAACCGUACAUCCCUCACUACGAUGCACCUGUUUCACUGAGAACUAAUCAACAUGUUACAUUGUUUGAUAAUGGCUCGCAUCAAUUACUUUUGGAUCCUUUGACAGCUGACCGAGAAGCACCAGACGGAGAGGAAACAGAUGCUUACGAUCAUAAUAUGCCUCUUUCCCCACUCCACACAAGGGUACAAUUUUUUACAAGUUAUUAUAGUGUUGUAAUCAUAUUAUUUUAUGUGUAUAAUAUAUAUAUUUUGAAAUAGGUUAGAGUUCCUUUAUGGAUUACUGAAACGGCAACAAAUCAACUUGAUGUGCAGUUCUCAUCGAGGGCUCGAGAAUUUUUAGAUAGAUUGGAGACUAAUGAUAUUGAAACAACUAUAGUGAGCGUUUUAAAAGAAGAUCCUCGGUCUGUAUAUGUCCGUGAGCGUUAUAGCAAUCAAUUUUACACGUUUUUAAUUGGAGGCUAUCAUGUGAGUUGCAAGUUUGAUGACAGUAGACAUAUAAUAAGUGUAUACAGAAUAUCACUCGUUGACAAUUUGGAUAACGUAGAAAAUCAAGAUGGUGCCCAUUAC
Cinara cedri is the source of this 888-nucleotide non-coding RNA. Lineage: Eukaryota; Metazoa; Arthropoda; Insecta; Hemiptera; Aphididae. The record is from the annotation of a GenBank genome assembly.